RNAcentral lists this long non-coding RNA (264 nucleotides) under Elaeis guineensis (African oil palm). Its description in RNAcentral is "long non-coding RNA (EGUI_LNC015500)". The record is from RNAcentral. Lineage: Eukaryota; Viridiplantae; Streptophyta; Magnoliopsida; Arecales; Arecaceae.
CCUUGAUGGAUAAUAAGUAUAAUACACUUGAACAGCUUGUUGAGCUAGCACAAAAGCAUCAUUGACAUAUAUUUUUGAUUCAUGUUUGAUUUCAAUAAGCUCAUACCGUCGAUCAACCUUCAUAUAAUUAUCAUUAUCAAAUCAUCGGUACUUAAAUAGAAUGAUACUAUUACCUCCAAUGUAGGUCAACUUGAUCACUUUUUCGAUUAUUCCAUAGUAAUCACUCUCUAUCUUUGCCCAUCAGCUGCCCUUUACACACACACC